ACCAGUGCUAGCUGAGGAGCUGCAAAACCUGUGGAAGAGCCCAGGGCAGCUCCCAUGCCCUUUUCAGGGGCAGUGAGAAUGAAUCAGGCAAGCACAGUGAGGAAGACCAAAGCUGAUGAACUAACAAAGUCCAGCUGGCAGAGAAGACCUGCUAUGAUAUGUGAUUUUGGGAACACAUCUUAAAAUGAGAAUCCAAAGCAGCUCAACCCACUCAGGCUGACAAAGAGAAAGCUCUGAAGUCUCAGAAGAGACCAAGUCAUAUGUGACAAAGACCUACAGGAAAAUAAGGUAUCAGGCAUGGUUCUUCGACCAUUGGAAAAGAGUGCGACCAGAGGAAAGCAGGUUGCUUUGCUUCUCAGACACAGAGUGCUGUGGAAGAACCAUACCCAUAGCUCCAUGCUACACUUUUGCAACCUUAAUGAACAUUACAGUUGAUGAUACUUAUCCUUUUUGUUAAAAGAAAAGAUCUAAAAAUGCUGCUUUUUAUCAUGA
This is a long non-coding RNA of Dromaius novaehollandiae (emu), 492 nucleotides long. RefSeq lists it as uncharacterized. Lineage: Eukaryota; Metazoa; Chordata; Aves; Casuariiformes; Dromaiidae. The record is from RefSeq and is a predicted model, not a curated record. The transcript is spliced from 3 exons.